UGAAGGAAGAAAUCAGUCCGCGUCCUGGUCGCUGUGGGGAACGGCAGAGGAGCCGCAGGUUUUGCCAUUGGGAAAGCCACUGAAUGGGUGAACGCUUUCAGAAAAGCAAAGAACAAAGCAGUUCAGUAUCUGCAUUAUAUAGAGCA
This is a long non-coding RNA of Diceros bicornis minor, 146 nucleotides long. RefSeq lists it as uncharacterized. The record is from RefSeq and is a predicted model, not a curated record. The transcript has 3 exons. Lineage: Eukaryota; Metazoa; Chordata; Mammalia; Perissodactyla; Rhinocerotidae.